GCCUUCAUGGUGUAACAAUUAGCACACUCGGCGCGUAUUCAGAAGAUCCAGGUUCGAAUCCCGGCGAGGGCA
Molecule: transfer RNA, 72 nt
Filed under: Stegodyphus mimosarum
Lineage: Eukaryota; Metazoa; Arthropoda; Arachnida; Araneae; Eresidae
Rfam family: tRNA
About the family: Transfer RNA (tRNA) molecules are approximately 80 nucleotides in length. Their secondary structure includes four short double-helical elements and three loops (D, anti-codon, and T loops). Further hydrogen bonds mediate the characteristic L-shaped molecular structure. tRNAs have two regions of fundamental functional importance: the anti-codon, which is responsible for specific mRNA codon recognition, and the 3' end, to which the tRNAs corresponding amino acid is attached (by aminoacyl-tRNA synthetases). tRNAs cope with the degeneracy of the genetic code in two manners: having more than one tRNA (with a specific anti-codon) for a particular amino acid; and 'wobble' base-pairing, i.e. permitting non-standard base-pairing at the 3rd anti-codon position.
Source: Rfam by way of RNAcentral